GUAAGGAUGGCCGAGCGGUCUAAGUCGAUGCGUUCAGGUCGCAGUCUCCUCUGGAGGCGUGGGUUCGAAUCCCACUCCUGACA
Molecule: transfer RNA, 83 nt
Filed under: Gadus morhua (Atlantic cod)
Lineage: Eukaryota; Metazoa; Chordata; Actinopteri; Gadiformes; Gadidae
Description: tRNA-Leu (CAG) (tRNA-Leu-CAG-24-1)
Rfam family: tRNA
About the family: Transfer RNA (tRNA) molecules are approximately 80 nucleotides in length. Their secondary structure includes four short double-helical elements and three loops (D, anti-codon, and T loops).
Source: Rfam by way of RNAcentral